Long non-coding RNA from Helianthus annuus (common sunflower), 1742 nucleotides. RefSeq lists it as uncharacterized. Lineage: Eukaryota; Viridiplantae; Streptophyta; Magnoliopsida; Asterales; Asteraceae. The transcript has 4 exons. The record is from RefSeq and is a predicted model, not a curated record.
CUCAUUCAUUCAGACACGUUAGUUUUCAAAACCCUAGCCUCUCCUUCAUCCAUCUUCUCCUCUAGAUCAAUCAUCGCCUCCAUCACAACAAAAUAGAACAAAUGUCGAUCAACAACUCCAGCGUUUAAUACACAUAUUUGCUUUCGUUUGUGCAAAUCUUCUGUUUUGUUCAUCCCUACUGAUUAUUGUUUACUUAUGAAGAUCUGGAAACUGGGCCAAAAUGCCCUAGCCGCCGCUUCCAAGCAACAAAGGCAAGGGUUCCGACAAGUUGAUGCGGAGCCAGUUCAGUUGACAGGUCUGCAUUUUAGUUUAUAUUUUUAUUUUUGGUUGCCGUUGAUUUUAUUUAUUAAAAAGUGUUUCUUAUUCUUUUUUUCUUCUCAUUCAUCUCACGACGUCUAUUUGAGAAACCCUAAAUCACAACCAACUUUCUUUGUUUAUCGAUUUCAAGAAAGGGAUGUUUUUUAUGAUGUUAAUCUGAAUCAUAUCACCACCAUCAUUCAAAUCUGGUACUUGAGGCUGUAUGUUUGUAAAUCCACACUUUCUAGGUUUGUCGAACGAUAAAUCUGGUAUCUGGAAUAGUCUAUCAUCUUGGAGUCUCCGGCAGUCGAGGAGCUGACAAAAUUAAGCGUAGUAUGGAUAAACACAACAGGGAUCGAUCAUCCAUUGCCAAAACUAUGAGAUCAUUCUUGUGAUCAGUAAAUCACAUUUGACUUUAAAAGCGAUUAACGUUGUGGGGUAUCAAUCAUAACGUUAAUUAUGAGAGGAAGACCAAAUGGAUCUUAUAAGAAGCGUUUGCUCACUACUUUUGUUCUUGUGGGAGCUGCCCUCCUUUUCCUCUAUUUGUAUUCCGGUUCUCAUAGCGAAGGUGAAUCCGCUAUAGAGUACGGUAGCCGGUCUCUAAGAAAGCUCGGAUCAUCCUACUUAAGUGGUGAUGACGAAUCCAAUCUCGGUAGCAAGCAAGAUGAAUUUCAAUUCGGGCUCGAUGACGAGGAUGGUAUUGUACCAAAAAGCUUUCCCUUCCGUGCAGGUUUGUGAUGAUUGAUACUCUGAACUGAUACCCUGCCUUGACCGACACCUUAUCUACCAGGUGAGAUUGAAGUUGGAUUUGUCUUUGAUGGAACACCAUGAAAGAAAUUCCCCUCUGCCUGAAAGGCGUUUUAACUGCUUGAUUCCUCUGCCAAAUGGGUACAAGGUGCGGUUCUAUUCAAUAGAAGUGGAAAAUAGACGUGUUGGGUACCGUGUCAUACAUGUGACUUAUGGUACCUUGUCAAACGGGUUAGAUUGACAAGAAACGUUCUUUUGUUCAAUUUUUUAAUCUAUCUAUAUAAAUAUAAUAAACAAUAUCUGAAUCUCAAUACAAAAAAGUUUUUAGCUUUUGUACUAUGGAAAGAUUACAUUUUUGGGGGAGCGAAGAACACUAGAAACCUAUCUUGUAAAUGUAGUGACUCUUCAAAUGUUUAUUUUUACACUUUUCGAUUGAUGGAUCAUGGAAUGCACUGUUAAAUUGGCUUUGUGGUGUGUUCAUGGUGUAUCUGGUUUGCUAACUUGUAUUUCAGAUGCGUGAUCUCUGAUGCCAAAGAAGUGGAAGACAAAUAUAUAAUAAUCUUUGGUGGUAGUGAUCUGGUUGUAUAUAGUUGUAUUUGGGAGUUUGGUGUAGAUUUUUUUGGUUGUAUAUAUGUAAUAUGUUACAGAUGAAGGUACUUGAGUCAUUAGGUAUGUGUUGCAUAAAGUUCUUUACAUUA